This 301-nucleotide ribosomal RNA is filed under the name uncultured bacterium. Its description in RNAcentral is "partial 16S ribosomal RNA". It matches the Rfam family "Bacterial small subunit ribosomal RNA", at positions 509 to 809 of the family's 1533-position model. The record is from RNAcentral.
CAGUAGCCGCGGUAAUACGUAGGGGGCUAGCGUUAAUCGGAAUUACUGGGCGUAAAGCGUGCGCAGGCGGUUCGUUAAGACAGAUGUGAAAUCCCCGGGCUUAACCUGGGAACUGCAUUUGUGACUGACGGGCUAGAGUAUGGCAGAGGGGGGUAGAAUUCCACGUGUAGCAGUGAAAUGCGUAGAGAUGUGGAGGAAUACCGAUGGCGAAGGCAGCCCCCUGGGCCAAUACUGACGCUCAUGCACGAAAGCGUGGGGAGCAAACAGGAUUAGAUACCCCAGUAGUCCCUGUCUCUUAUAA